UGGGGAAUAUUGCUCAAUGGGCGCAAGCCUGAAGCAGCAACGCCGCGUGAGGGAUGAAGGUCUUCGGAUUGUAAACCUCUUUCAGCAGGGACGAAGCGAAAGUGACGGUACCUGCAAAAGAAGCACCGGCUAACUACGUGCCAGCAGCCGCGGUGAUACGUAGGGUGCAAGCGUUGUCCGGAUUUAUUGGGCGUAAAGAGCUCGUAGGCGGUUCAUCACGUCGAAUGUGAAAACUCGGGGCUUAACCCCGAGCCUGCAUUCGAUACGGGUGGACUCGAGUGUGGUAGGGGAGACUGGAAUUCCUGGUGUAGCGGUGGAAUGCGCAGAUAUCAGGAGGAACACCGGUGGCGAAGGCGGGUCUCUGGGCCAUUACUGACGCUGAGGAGCGAAAGCGUGGGGAGCGAACAGG
Molecule: ribosomal RNA, 409 nt
Filed under: uncultured bacterium
Lineage: Bacteria
Description: bacterial SSU rRNA
Rfam family: Bacterial small subunit ribosomal RNA
Source: RNAcentral